UGCGCUCGAUUCGCUGUCCAGAACGUUCCGCACAGUCAGAACAGCAAUAAAGUACACUGGAACAGUGUCCGGAACUUGUCCAGGCUGUGCCCGCGAAAUAGGUGGUGCAGCUGGAACAGUGACGUCACAAACAUGGCUUCCUCGAACUUUUACAGGUGUAAUUGCGGUGUUUUCUUCUGCACAUUAGCAGCAGCAAUGCAACACAGAUGUACUAAAGCUGUUGCUGGUGAUACUGCUACAUGCUCGAGUGCCAGCACCACAAGUUCGAGAAACAUUGAAGAUGUUGGAGACAGUGAGGACAGGACAAUGUUUGAAUGUGAUGUCUGUAAAGGAUGGUUUUUGGACAUGAAGACUUUUGACCGCCAUGACUGUAUCAUGAAUACCGGUAAUGCUUCUAACGAAAGUCCGCUUGCAGCAGCAUCAUCAUCAUCAUCAUCAGAGAAAGGUAAUCCUAUAAGCACAUGUACAUGGAACAGAAAAGCAACCCUGAUGCUUAUUGAUUUAUACAAGAAACUGGAAGAAAGUGUUUCAUCUGGUAAGAUGAAAAAGAAAGUACUUUGGGAAAAAAAUAGCAAAAGAACUGCAAUCAGAGGGUUACAGUUUCUGUUGUGAUCAAGUUUCUGGAAGGUGGAAGUCUCUGAUGAGAGCUUACAAAAACGUUAAAGACCACAAUAAGAAAAGUGGCAACAACCCAAAAACCUAUGAAUAUGAGGAAGAACUGGAUGAAAUUUUUGGGCAGAAUCCCUGUAUAGUACCAAAAUUUACACUAUCUACCAACUCAUCAAAAAGACCCUUAGGUGAUGAUAGUGAUGAUAAUAAUGAUGAUGAUGAUGAAAGUGUUUCAAGUAAUGAAGCCAGGAAAGCUAACCCUCCAAAACAGCAAAGAAAGUCAAGCGCGAAUGAAAUUGUUGAAGUUUUCAAGAGCUAUAUUGCUGAUCAGGAAAAGAAACAGAAGGAAGAAAGGGGUAUGAGGGAAAGAAUGCACAAAGAAAGAAUGAGUGUAAUGACCAGUCUAAUACAAGUACUAAAAGGAAAAAAUGAAGAUGAUAAAUAAGAAAAAUGUGUUGUAUGCAUGGAAGAUGGAAAGCAUCCAAAUUGUGUUUUUGUGGACUGCGGUCACUUGGUUGUGUGUAUGGACUGUGGAUCAAGAUGCAACACAUGCCCAGUUUGUCGGGAGGAAAUAAAGCAGAGAAUCAAAGUGUUUCCAUGAGUUUGUAAAACAACAGCAAAUAUGAAACAAAACUUUUGAUUAUUCACCUGAAAAUGGUGGAAAGAUUUGGUGUGGUAAAAUGGUUGUUACGUUUUAUUCAUAAUUCUCUUGUUUACUCAGACAGGAAGUGCAGUUUUUAAUGUGGUACAAGUUAUUGUUUUUAUUAAUAAUUAAACUCAUUUGUCUACAAUUUUCUUAUUUAAGUUGAUAUAUGUGGCCAGAUGCUGCUUAAGGAAGGAGCAACUGCAAUAUUAUUUCUUUCAUAAAGCAUGACUUUACUUAUGGAUGUCUUUUAUGCUGCAGGUAAUCAGGGCCUGUUGUGAAAUGUAAUUAUUUUUAUUUGCCAAUAAAUGUACCCAUUAUGUGUCAGAUGAUUCAGGCCCAUUUUGACUCUUUUUCAUUGUAUUCAAUCAAACAUUCCAUUUUUUUUUCCAUUAUAUAUUUAUUUUGCUAUUGUGCCAAAUUUAUAUGAAUAAUACUAUAUUUUAAUAUUGUGAAUGUCACCAACUGUAAUGCAUCUCUAUUAUGCUUACUCGGGUGUUAUAUCUACAUGUAAUAUUCAUUACAUUGUUUUUAAAGGAAACAGAUAGUUUCUUAUCUCAUUCUCAGUAAAAACAUUUUGUUUUUUCAAAUUGUACAAGACAGAGGAUUUAGUUUGCAAAUAUAUAAACAUUUAUAUAUGCAAUAUGUUCUGAUAAAAUGUACUUUAAUAUGUACAUUAGUAUUUCAUGUCUUGGAAUUAAAGAUUUGAAACUCUUUAGUAUUUUUUUUAUCAUUUACUGUUCACAUUUGGACCAGGUUUCACAAACAUUUGUAAUCCUUUUGUCUUAUAAAAAAUGUAACUUAAAUCAAGAUUUUAAGUUAACAGGUCAAGAAAGGAAUACCUGUCAUGUCUAUGUUUGGUUUAAUGAGCUUAUUUACAUCCUAUCAACAGUUUGUGAAGCUUUGGUUGUAAACAUACCAAGAAUACCAAGUUCCUUCAAAUGAAUGACCUUGACCCAUUUUCAAGUUCACAGGGGACAGAUGAGGUAAAUCUUCAAAUACACGUAUCUUCUUCUCUAUAGCUAAAUGACCUAUAAUGAUGAUACAUGUAUUUGGCCUGUUGCCUGCCAGGAUGAAGUGUUCCAGGUUCAUUAAAGUGAAUGACAGCUUUUCAAGGUGACUUUGGUUAAAAUUUCAAAAUUUUGUAGUCUUUGUCUGCUGACCAUUGGGACUUGCACUCCAAGAGGUUUUACAUGUUGACAUAUAAAUUAAAGGAUGAAAAAAAAUUACACCCAGACAUAGUAUUUAUUUAUCAACUGUCAUUAAAAACAAGUCAACAAUCUGAUCUGUACAUAAGGCACACUUAAUAAUGUUUCUAUAUUGUUAAUAAUGUUUCUAUAUUGUUAUUUUUUUUUAAUUGCAAGUCACAUGAAACAGUUUUCAGCUGGAGGUGAAAAGUUGAAAACUCAAAUUCUUUAUUUUACUUCUUCCAGUUACCACAGAUAUGAGACAUUUCAAUUUCCGGACAUUCUUCUUGCUAUAAUGUCUCGUUUGAUAACCCCUUCAUUGUCAUUUUCAUGCAUAUGCAUGGCUUGUUGUCGGGGACAGUCUAGUGCUGGAUCUAUUUCCAAGUAAUCAUCAUAUUCAUCGUUGUGGAUUAAACAAAUGUUAUGCAAAACACAUGAUACCAUUAUUACUUCCACCGCAGUUUUAAUACUUUGAGUAUCCAGAUAAUUUAGUCGCCUAAAUCUGCCUUUCAGUAAGCCGAAUGCUCUUUCUAUUACAACUCUGUUUGCAGACAACAUGUAAUUGAAAUUCUUUUGUUGAUAUGUGAGAUGUCCAUUAUCUCUAAAUGGUGUCAAGAGCCAUCUACGAAGGGGAUAAGCGCCAUCAGCAAUUGUAUGAUUGCCGUUACACAAUAAUAAACCAUUCUCCCACAGGUCAGAAUUGCGCAACACCCUUGCAUCGUGGCAGCUACCAGGGUAUCCUGCAAAACAAUCUGUGAAGAUCAUUUCUGAAUUACACACAGCCUGAAGGUGAAGAGAAUGGAACUUUUUCCUAUUGACAUAAGACUGGGCAUUCUCUUUUGGUGCACGUAUUGGAAUAUGAGUUCCAUCCAGGGAGCCUACAAUCCCUGGAAAUCCAUUACGUUGUUCAAAUUUGUCCACAGUUUCCUGCAGAGAUUGAUUUUUAGGCCAAGAAAUAAAUUUGUGUUUUAAAUUUUUCAAUAUUGCAUCAAUGAUCCGUCUUCUACAUAAAACCACUGAUGACUCGGAUAUCCCAAAUCUGUCAGCUAUCUUAAUUAUGCUAUCUGAACCACCAAGGUACCACAAUGUCACAUAUAACUGUUUUUCAACUGCAAUAGGCUCUCGUCCACCAGUUCCACCAACUACUAGCUCCGGGCAAUCUUUAAGAUAGCUACUCAUUUUCUGAAAGGUUUCUCGAGACAAACGAAACAUUCGUCGAAACUCUGUCUCAUUGUACUCUGGUAUUACAGUAUCAGCAUAAUUCAAAAUCCUUGACCUUGGCUCUCUCACAACACUGAAAUUGAAAUAAAAGAAAAAAAUCCACUUAACUUUACAAUAUAAAACACAACACCCUGGAUCUGAAUCAAAAUUUUUAUGAAGUGUGUAGUGAUAUGUAUAUGGAGACUGAUGAAUAUCAAUCAAGAAUCUAUUGAUUAUUAUUUAUGUAUGGUAGCCCUGCGUUUUGGGAAAAAUAAAUAAAUUUUAUUACAAUAUUAUGUAAAUGUCACAUGUGAAAAUUGUAAAUUAUUUCUUUUUGUUGUCCGAACACUGCGUGUCAUAUAACUGUCUGUCAGAAAAAUCAUGUUGCUGGUGGUUCUAGUGUGAUAGAAAUGUUGUGUGUCGACAACAGGAAGAUGCAACGUACUAUCUUAGAUAGGACGAAAAACAAACAAAAUCUAGUUUGAUUCACUUACGACACAAUGAAUGAGUGAUUAUUUGUGUUUAGCAAUGAAACUUACCAACAAGCACAAUAUGCAGCUAUUGCCACACCUACUAAGUCAUCUCCUUUGAAAUUAUCAUCGUCUUCACCCAUUUCUAAAGCUGACAACACAGAAGUAACGGUAUUGGUCGCCAUAUUGGAAAUACACUUCCUGUUCCAGCGCAUUCGAUUCGCACCAGUUCCAGAACACUGUUCCGGACAGUGAAUCGAGCACGCCCC
Molecule: RNA transcript, 4378 nt
Organism: Pecten maximus
Lineage: Eukaryota; Metazoa; Mollusca; Bivalvia; Pectinida; Pectinidae
Gene name: E3 ubiquitin-protein ligase APD1-like
Exons: 3
Source: RefSeq, a predicted model, not a curated record